AUUGAACGCUGGCGGCAUGCCUUACACAUGCAAGUCGAACGGUAACGGGCCUUCGGGUGCCGACGAGUGGCGAACGGGUGAGUAAUACAUCGGAACGUGCCCGAUCGUGGGGGAUAACGAGGCGAAAGCUUUGCUAAUACCGCAUACGAUCUACGGAUGAAAGCAGGGGACCGCAAGGCCUUGCGCGGACGGAGCGGCCGAUGGCAGAUUAGGUAGUUGGUGGGAUAAAAGCUUACCAAGCCGACGAUCUGUAGCUGGUCUGAGAGGAUGAGCAGCCACACUGGGACUGAGACACGGCCCAGACUCCUACGGGAGGCAGCAGUGGGGAAUUUUGGACAAUGGGCGCAAGCCUGAUCCAGCCAUGCCGCGUGCAGGAUGAAGGCCUUCGGGUUGUAAAAUGCUUUUGUACGGAACGAAAAGCCUUCUUUUAAUACAGGAGGGUCAUGACGGUACCGUAAGAAUAAGCACCGGCUAACUACGUG
RNAcentral lists this ribosomal RNA (482 nucleotides) under uncultured bacterium. RNAcentral's name for it is "partial 16S ribosomal RNA". It matches the Rfam family "Bacterial small subunit ribosomal RNA", at positions 30 to 507 of the family's 1533-position model. The record is from RNAcentral.